This 648-nucleotide long non-coding RNA is filed under the name Cotesia glomerata. RNAcentral's name for it is "uncharacterized LOC123261095, transcript variant X2". The record is from RNAcentral. Lineage: Eukaryota; Metazoa; Arthropoda; Insecta; Hymenoptera; Braconidae.
UUAUAUUCGAGAUGUGCAAGAUCCUUUUGAUUUUUGUUCAGACAUCGAAUUCAAGUAAAGAUAUAGAUUUGACAAGGAUAAUGUUAAAUUCGGAAUAUUACCUCUUAUAGAACAAAAAUUUAACUAAAGUCAAUAAACGAGGAUUACCAAUCCCACCAAUUUUUCAAUUAUUAUGAUUGCGAUUUUAUGCAACUGCAAGUUUUCAGGUGAUACCAUGACAGUAUCACAACCAACAGUUUCCAGAAUAGUUUUUUGGUGAGCGUUUUACUUGCAAGCGAAAUUCAUGAUUACAUUAAAAUGCCUCGAACUCAAGCAGCAAAAUUAGAAAACCAGAGACUUUUUGAACGUUUGGGAUUUGGUGAUGGAGCAAUUGGAAUACCCGGGUUGAUGGAGCAAUUGAUUGCACUUAUAUCCGAUGAGUUCAUACAAUGUUUCAAAAUAUUAAUGAAAUCAACAGAAAUCGAAAGGGCUAUUUUUCUCUGAAUGUACAAGCGAUUGUUGGCUCAUGGAUGGAAUUUUUAGAUAUUGUUCCAGAAUGGCCUGGUAGCGCUCAUGAUAGUCGAAUUUUUCAAAAUUCUCGAAUUUACAUGAGAUAUUCUGAACGUGAACUAACUGGGAUACUUGUCUACGUAUUCUUUGAUAAUUUGU